GAUGAACGCUGGCGGCGUGCCUAAUACAUGCAAGUCGAGCGAACGGACGAGAAGCUUGCUUCUCUGAUGUUAGCGGCGGACGGGUGAGUAACACGUGGAUAACCUACCUAUAAGACUGGGAUAACUUCGGGAAACCGGAGCUAAUACCGGAUAAUAUUUUGAACCGCAUGGUUCAAAAGUGAAAGACGGUCUUGCUGUCACUUAUAGAUGGAUCCGCGCUGCAUUAGCUAGUUGGUAAGGUAACGGCUUACCAAGGCAACGAUGCAUAGCCGACCUGAGAGGGGGAUCGGCCAACCUGGAACUGAGACACGGUCCAGACUCCUACGGGAGGCAGCAGUAGGGAAUCUUCCGCAAUGGGCGAAAGCCUGACGGAGCAACGCCGCGUGAGUGAUGAAGGUCUUCGGAUCGUAAAACUCUGUUAUUAGGGAAGAACAUAUGUGUAAGUAACUGUGCACAUCUUGACGGUACCUAAUCAGAAAGCCACGGCUAACUACGUG
This 497-nucleotide ribosomal RNA is filed under the name uncultured bacterium. Its description in RNAcentral is "partial 16S ribosomal RNA". It matches the Rfam family "Bacterial small subunit ribosomal RNA", at positions 28 to 507 of the family's 1533-position model. The record is from RNAcentral.